RNAcentral lists this transfer RNA (77 nucleotides) under Staphylococcus felis. RNAcentral describes it as "tRNA-Asp". It matches the Rfam family "tRNA". From Rfam's summary of the family: Transfer RNA (tRNA) molecules are approximately 80 nucleotides in length. Their secondary structure includes four short double-helical elements and three loops (D, anti-codon, and T loops). Lineage: Bacteria; Bacillati; Bacillota; Bacilli; Caryophanales; Staphylococcaceae. The record is from RNAcentral.
GGUCCCGUAGUGGAGCGGUUUAACACGCCUGCCUGUCACGCAGGAGACCGCGGGUUCGAUUCCCGUCGGGACCGCCA